GGCUAGCUCAGUUGGUAGAGUGCUUGCCUUGCAUGCACAAAGCCCUGGGUUCAAUCCCCAGCGCCA
Molecule: transfer RNA, 66 nt
Filed under: Marmota marmota marmota (Alpine marmot)
Lineage: Eukaryota; Metazoa; Chordata; Mammalia; Rodentia; Sciuridae
Also listed under: 1 other name
Rfam family: tRNA
About the family: Transfer RNA (tRNA) molecules are approximately 80 nucleotides in length. Their secondary structure includes four short double-helical elements and three loops (D, anti-codon, and T loops). Further hydrogen bonds mediate the characteristic L-shaped molecular structure. tRNAs have two regions of fundamental functional importance: the anti-codon, which is responsible for specific mRNA codon recognition, and the 3' end, to which the tRNAs corresponding amino acid is attached (by aminoacyl-tRNA synthetases). tRNAs cope with the degeneracy of the genetic code in two manners: having more than one tRNA (with a specific anti-codon) for a particular amino acid; and 'wobble' base-pairing, i.e. permitting non-standard base-pairing at the 3rd anti-codon position.
Source: Rfam by way of RNAcentral